CCUACGGGAGGCAGCAGUGGGGAAUAUUGCACAAUGGGGGAAACCCUGAUGCAGCGACGCCGCGGGAGUGAAGAAGUAUUUCGGUACGUAAAGCUCUAUCAGCAGGGAAGAAAAUGACGGUACCUGACUAAGAAGCCCCGGCUAACUACGUGCCAGCAGCCGCGGUAAUACGUAGGGGGCAAGCGUUAUCCGGAUUUACUGGGUGUAAAGGGAGCGUAGACGGCAGCGCAAGUCUGGAGUGAAAUCCCAUGGCUUAACCAUGGAACUGCUUUGGAAACUGUGCAGCUAGAGUGCAGGAGAGGUACGCGGAAUUCCUAGUGUAGCGGUGAAAUGCGUAGAUAUUAGGAGGAACACCAGUGGCGAAGGCGGCUUACUGGACUGUAACUGACGUUGAGGCUCGAAAGCGUGGGGAGCAAACAGGAUUAGAUACCCUAGUAGUC
RNAcentral lists this ribosomal RNA (440 nucleotides) under uncultured bacterium. Its description in RNAcentral is "partial 16S ribosomal RNA". It matches the Rfam family "Bacterial small subunit ribosomal RNA", at positions 338 to 795 of the family's 1533-position model. The record is from RNAcentral.